RNAcentral lists this long non-coding RNA (15591 nucleotides) under Solanum tuberosum (potato). RNAcentral's name for it is "long non-coding RNA (STUB_LNC010266)". The record is from RNAcentral. Lineage: Eukaryota; Viridiplantae; Streptophyta; Magnoliopsida; Solanales; Solanaceae.
UAGCCUGUUUUACCAGGUGAUCCGCUACAUCGUUAGCCUCUCUAAAGUAGUGAGUUGCUUUAACAUUAGCUUGUUUCAUUCUUUGUUGUAUCUCCUCAAUGAUGAAAUUCAGCAUGUAGUUGGAUUACUGGUUGUUCAAAAUCAUAGGAAAUAGGUUCAAAGAGUCUCUCUUUGGUGAAAUUCUUCAGAUUUUUCAAAAUGCAGAGGCUCUUAGUCCAAAACUGGCAGCCUUAGCUUCUGCUUCUGUGAUGCUGCUACCACUCGAAGGUGAGGAGAAAGCGAAGAUGAGAUUGCCUCUAUCAUCCCUCAAAACUCCCCUCAUACCAAAUUUUCCACUAGCUGAGCAGUAGCUUCCGUCAGUUUUCAAUUUAAUGACGCCAUUUUCAGGGAACUUCCAGCAUACAAUAGAAAGGUUUGAGGCAGGUUUCAGCUUCACAAAUUUUUCACAAAGAGUGAUCCAAAGUUAUGUCGAACCAACUUUUGGAUAGCUUUAGCAAUUGUACUCUGAAUGCUGCACCCAAUGAGUUGGAUCAUCAUAUAUCUGUUGAGAUUCCUUAAGCCUCCAUAAUUACUACGCUCGGACCUUUGAUUCUAAAUCUCCAAGCAGAUAAGGCCUGGUAUAGUUUGAAGAACUAGCGUGUCGGUGGAGUUAUUUGAUUUUUGAUUCCACCAGUUGUAAGUUCUGAUUGCCAGUGGCCCUCCAAAGUGCUUCCACACAUAUUGAGCUGCCUCUCCAUGAAGAAAAACAUGUUGCAUUUGAUUUUCAAUUUAGGAAGAGAGCAGCAGUUGCAUAGAGUAUCCUUCAGAAUACCAAAUAUGCUAAUGACUUAGUCAAAGGAAAAUUUUCACUGCCAGAAUUUCCAAACGAAAAAUGAAAUCUUAAAAGGAAUGUUGGAGUUCCAUACCUGAUCAAUAUUGUGGUCUGUUAGAAUAUUUCCCAUCUUCUGUGAGGUCCCAAAAGACCUUAUCUUGAGUGUCAUACUUGCCAAUUCCAAUGGUCUUGAUAUAUUGAAUUGUGCUAUCUCAUAGGAUGUUCUGCAUCUUUGCAUUAUCCCAAGUUCCAUUGGUAAUGAAAUGUCUUACUAGAGUCUCGGUAUUUUUCUCUGUUUCAUGGUAAUCAUUGGCUAGAGGACCUUUGCUACUCCAGUUGUCCCACCAAAAACUACAAUUUCCAGAAGGGUAGUAAUCAGAAAAGAAAAUUGUGGAGAUAGUAUAAACCAAGUAUUGGUGUUGUCAAAGACUCAGAAGCGAGGUGCAAAACAGUUCGAGUGCUUCACCCUCACUUAGUUGGCGCUUCAGUGCAGCCACAAAGGUACUAAAGCAUACACCUUAUCACCAAUGGGCUUUAUCCUUGCACGUAAAUUUCUAAAUUCUUUUAUCCUUACUAUAAUUUUCAUUUGUACAAUAAAUUUCUAAGUGCAAUAAUUUGGUUUCACAAGAAUGGUUUUGAUCUCAAUCUGAUUAGUUAUACACUUCUGAUUAAAGGAUAUUCAACUUUUGGCGAUCUUGUAGAGGUUGUUUAAGGAGAUAGAGCCAAAUUUUCAUUUAUACACCUCCAUAAUUAGUGGUUAGAGUAAGUUAGGUAAUGUUAUGAAGGAAUUUUCAACGUUUGUUGAAAUGGUGGAGAGAGGCCUCAUUCCUGAUGGUCACACAUAUGGAGCUUUGAUAAAUGGCUUCUGCAAGGAGCUGAAGUUUUACAAAAUGAGAUGCAAGGCAAGGACAUUAGCAUAGACCGGGUCAUAUUUAAUACGAUGAUGGAUGGUUAUUGUAAGCAAGAUAAUGUGGAUGAAGCACUGAGGCUACAUACAAUUAUGGAGGGUGAAGGACAUCAGCCUGAUGCAAAUGCUUACAAUAUAAUUGCUACGAGCCUGCUUAAGCUAGAAUUGUAUGAUGAAGCAAAAAUGUUGUUGCUCUCAAUGGUGGAUCGAGGUGUAGCUCUAGAUACAAUUAGUUAUACAACUUUGAUCGAUAUUUAUUGCAAGGAGGGAAAUUUUGUGGAAGCAAAAAGGGCACUUAUUGAGAUGGAAACUAAGGCAAUUAAGCCUAACACGGCAACAUACACUCCACUGGUAGAUGGUUAUUGCAAGCUGGGAAAAAUUGUUGACGCAAAAAGGAUACUUAGGGUGAUGGAAACUGAAGGAGUUAAACCUAACACAACAACAAACAGUGUCUGUGCCCUGAUAGACACUUAUUGUAAGCAAGGAAAUUUCAUCGAAGCAAAAACGACAUUUAGUGAGAUUGGAACUAAGCCUAACACAAUAAUAUACACUGCCCUGAUAGAUGGUUAUUGCAAGGUGCGAAAUCCUGCUAAAGCUGAAAAGGAACUUAUUGAGAUGGAAACUAAGGGAGUUAGCCUAACACGGUAACGUAUACUGCCAUGAUAGAUAGUUGUUGCAAGGUGGGAAAUAUUGCUAAAGCAAUAAAGGUACUUAUUGAGAUGGAAACUAAGGGAGUUAAGCCUAACACAGUAACGUACACUGCCCUGAUAGAUGGUUGUUGCAAGUGGGAAAUAUUGCUAAAGCAAUAAAAAUACUUAUUGAGAUGGAAAAUAAGCCUAACGCAAUUACUUACAAUGCUCUGAAGAUGGUUAUUGUAAGAAAGGUACGAUGAAAGAAGGUUUGAGAUGGAUACUAAGGGAGUUAAACCUAACACAAUUACUUACAAUGCCCUGAAGAUGGUUAUUGUAAGAAAGGUACGAUGAGAGAAGAUUUAAGGAUUGUCAUGAUGUCCAUACAUACACCUCUUAUAUUACAUUGAGAAUACAUAUCAGGAAAAGUAGAUGUUGCUUUGAAGCUUUUCAUCGAGAUUCCUACAAAGGGUUUAGUUCUGGAUGUGGUGAUUUUCAGAACGAUGAUUUCUGGCCUAUCAAAAAAUGGCAAAUCAAAUGAAGCCUUCAGAUUAUACAAUCUGAUGAUAGAGGCAAGCCUAACACUCGGUGUUGUUACAUACCAUGCACUUGUGGAUAUACUAACUUGUAAGUCAUUAAUUUCACAUAAGUCAGACCUAGCUAAUUGGAGGCAUAACAAAUUGUUUAGCACUUCUUCAUGGUGUUUUACUUGAGCAAACUGAAUUAUAUGGUGCAGGACAUCCUGCAGAAAUUUGGUGUUCCUAGCUUGUUACUGCAAAUCUUAGGUGUUGUCCAUGGACAUUGUCUGCCAUAAACUCAAGGUUGAUAGCGAUUUGAGACCCAAGAAAGAGCAAAACUGCAGCUCAGAAUUUAGCAGCUUGAUUUACUUCAUUUAGACAAUGAUCUAAGAAAACUGGAGAUAUAUAGCCUUAUGACUCUGUAAGUAUGCAAAUGACAUUACGAUAUAAAACUUGCUAUUAUUUGAAUCAACAUACUGUUGCCUUAAUAAAAAAUAUUUGAAUCAACCAUGAGAUUAAAUAACUGUGGGCUUUAAAGAUAAAUAUUGUUCAUUAUGAUGGGAAUUUACUUGCUUAGUGUGUAAUUUCAACUUUUGAGGCAUUUGGUUCAAAAUGUUCCGCUACAUGUUCAUUCUUAAAGCAACAGUAUUGCUUCUUAGGUCGUCUAGUACAUUAUUCUCUUGAAAAUGGAAGAACCAGAAUAAAAGAAGUGCGUUACUCUGGAGAUGUAUUACAAAUUUUAGGUUUUGUUACCUUUUUGGUUGAGUGGCCUAGCUUCUAAUCAUUUUUAUACGGUUAUAUGACCUAAAUUUUAACAUGUAAUAUAGAAGCUGGAUCCUUUUUAUGGCGGUCAUGUGAUUUAAUAGUCAGUUACCUUCAUUAGGAAGAAGAAGAAAAACAAAGUGACUACCUUGUUCCUUUUAUCAUUUUCUUGGAGUUCCAAUACAUAUAACUUCUUGCAGGGUGGGUCAAUUUACACCAGAACAAUCAUUUUUUGAAAGUCUUAACAAAAUUUUGCAAAGAAAGACUCUACUAGUCUUAUCUUGCCUACAAUACGAGAUUGACAACUAUCCCACAGGCCUGCCAUAGAUUUCUCAGUUAGUUGUUGCCUUGUAAAAUACUUUGGAUCAAGUUAUAGAAAACUUCCUUCCACUGCAGUAAGCCAGUACCUAACGUGUUUGAUCAAUUUCUGGACCAAUUCUUAAUAGUCCAAAAUCAAAAACUUUAGCCCUGAGAUUUUUAUCAAGCAAUAGGUUUGGAGAUUUGAUGUCAAAUCGGAUAAUUGUCUGGUGAAAAGUAUGAAGAUAAUGAAGUCCUCUGAGAGUUUCAGGCCUUUGCGUUCAAAUUUGGAAGGUCUGAGACAUACAAAUAAUCCUUAAAGAGUUCCAUUCACCAUUGUCAUAAGUAAUAAUCUUCUCAUUCUUUUCAUCGCAGUACCCAAUGAUAUACCUUUGCCAUUUUCCAACCUUAGUGAUACAUGUAUAUCCUACCUAUAUGUAGCAUCUAGAAUAGGUAACCACUCUACUUUAGUGUUACAUAAGACUCCUAUAAGAACAGAAGAUUACCUAAAUGAGUGUCUGGUUUCAUUUCAAUAUUCUAAAUCUGAUAUAGGGCAAAUUCAUUUUUUGCCGCCUCCGUAGCAAAAUUACAUAAUUAAAACACUCCUUCAAUCUGUGGCUAUAUACUGAGGUUAAGUCCUUAAUUUUCUCUCGAUACUUUAUUUGCAUUGAACUUCAUCCUUUAAUGUGGUUUCAAUAUUUGCUCGGCCUUUAUACGGGCUACACAGUUUAAAUUGCUCCUAUAACUCGAAAGUUCAGGCCAUCUCUUUGAAGUUCUUGACAAAUCAGGAUAUAGCGUAUAUACUAGAUUAUGUUGGCUACAUUGCACUAGGAUGAUCCCUCUAUCUAUUCAUACAUUAAUCCACAAAAUUAUUACAUGUCUACAUAAACUAGGUAUUUCUGUAGAGUUUAGCACUCUGUUUCAUCUGUCAAAAAUUGAAGCACCAGAUAACUAUACUUAUUUGUAUUGUUUGAUUGAUGUACAGUGAGUAAAUCUAUAUCUCCACUCAAAAGUUUAUAUUAUGUCCUCUGAUGCAGUAACUUCAAAGACAUUUCUGCAUUCAUAUGAGGACCAUUUUAGCUGCAUGUGCUCGAUCAUCAGUGGAGUACUAUGAAGUUCUCCUUCUGCAUUCCUCAUUUUCCUUACAAAGACUCAAGUCACCAACUUUCCUCUUUUUCUGAAUUUGUGAAGACAAUUCGUAUCAGUCUGUUGAUACACUUAGCUUUUUCAGAUAGAGAGAAGAUUCAAUUACAGUUGAGUGGAAUGGGGAGUUGUAAACCUUGAAGAGAUUGUUGAAAGAGAAGUGUUGACGAAGAUACUGAGCUAUGAAAACGGCGAAAAUUUUCUCUCUAUCUGAAAAAGUUAAGUGUAUCAACACACUGAUACGAAUUAUCUUCACAAAUUCAGAAAAAAAGAGAAAAGUUGGAGACUUUGAGUCUUUGUAAGGAAAGUGAGGAAUGCAGAAGGAGAACUUCACAGUACUCCACUGAUGAUCGAGCACAUGCAGCUAAAAUGGUCCUCAUAUGAAUGCCAGAAAUGUCUUUGAAGGUACUGCAAAUUGCAUUAAAGGAUAUAAUCUAAACUUUUGAGAGGAGAUAUAGAUUUGCUCACUGUACAUCAAUCAAACAAUACGAAUAAGUAUGGUUAUCUGCUGCUUCAAUUUUUGACAAAUGAAACAGAGUGCUAAACUCUAUAGAAAUACCUAGUUUAUGCAGACAUGUAAUAAUUCCGUGGAGCAAUGUAUGAAUAGAUAGAGGGAUCAUCCUAGUGCAAUGUAGCCAAAAUAAUCUAGUAUAUACAUUAUAUCCUGAUUUGUCAAGAACUUCAAAGAGAUGGCCUGAAUUUUCGAGUUACAGGUGCAAUUUAAACUGUGUAGCCAGUAUAAAGGCCGAGCAAAUAUUGAAACCACAUUAAAGGAUGAAGUUCAAUGCAAAUGGAGUAUCGAGAGAAAAUUAAGGACUUAAGCUCAGUAUAUAGACACAGAUUGAAGGAGUGUUUUAAUUAUGGCCGAAGGAAGAUUUCUGAAUAUUUACCUAAAUAAUCACACUAAAGUCUAGGCAAAGUCGUGUGGACAACAAUGGAUUGAAAAAAAGAAUAUUAUCGCAAAAGUCAAACUAAAAACUGAUUCCAAGGGCUAGGGGGAAUGGGUUGUUCCCUUGGAAGAUCUCGUCUUUAGUGAGAGACAUUAUUCUAUUAGGAAAUGAGAUGCAAUUAGUUUCGUUUAUAAAUUCUAAUAAGGCAAUGUACUAGAUGAUGUUCUAGCUAACGAUGUCGUUGAUGCUCAAUAAUAUCUUUUAUUUAUGUAAUUUUGCUACGUAGGCGGCAAAAAAUGAAUUUGUCAUAUAUCAGAUUUAGAAUAUUGAAAUGAAACCAGACACUCAUUUAGGUAAUCUUCUGUUCUUAUAGGAGUCUUAUGUAACACUAAAGUAGAGUGGUUACCUAUUCUACAUGCUAGAUGCUACAUAUAGGUAGGAUAUACAUGUAUCACCAAGGUUGGAAAAUAGCAAAGGUAUAUCAUUGUGUACUCCGACGAAAAGAAUGAGAAGAUUAUUACUUAUGACAAUGGUGAAUGGAACUCUUUAAGGAUCAUCGGUAUGUCUCAAACUUUCCAAAUUUAAAUUUGAACGCAAAGGCUUGAAACUCGCAUAGGAUCAGAGGACUUCAUUAUCUUCAUACUUUGCAGCAAGCAAUCAUCCGCUUUGACAUCAAAUCUCCAAACCUAUUGCUUGAUAAAAAUCUCAGGGCUAAAGUUUUUGAUUUUGGACUAUCAAGAAUUGGUCCAGAAAUCAAUCAAACACGCUAGGUACUGGCUUACUGCAGUGGAAGGAAGUUUUCUAUAACUUGAUCCAGAGUAUUUUACAAGGCAACAACUAACUAAGAAAUCCAUGGCAGGCCUGUGGGGAUAGUUGUCAAUCUCGUAUUAUAGGCAAGAUAAGACUAGAGUCUUUGCAAAAUUUUGUUAAGACUUUCAAAAAAUGAUUGUUCUAGUGUAAAUUGACCCACCCUGCAAGAAGUUAUAUGUAUUGGAACUCCAAGAAAAUGAUAAAAGAACAAGCUAGUCACUUUGUUUUUCUUCUUCUUCCUAAUGAAUGAAACUGACUGUUAAAUCACAUGAUAGCCAUAAAAAGGUGAUCCAGCUUCUAUAUUACAUGCUAAAAUUUAGGUCAUAUAACCGUAUAAAAAUGAUUAGAAGCUAGGCCACUCAACCAAAAAAGUAACAAAACCUAAAAUUUGUAAUACAUCUCCACCAGCAUCUCCAGAGUAACAAACUUCUUUUAUUCUGGUUCUUCCAUUUUCAAGAGAAUAAUGUACUGGACGACCUAGGAAGCAAUACUGCUUUAAGAACGAACAUGUAGCGGAACAUUUUGAACCAAAUGCCUCAAAAGUUGAAAUUACACACUAAGCAAGUGAAUUCCCAUCAUGACUUCGUAAUGAACAAUAUUUAUCUUUAAAGCCCACAGUUAUUUAAUCUCAUGGUUGAUAUUUCAUGUUGAUUCAAAUAUUUUUUAUUAAGGUAACAGUAUGUUGAUUCAAAUAAUAGCAAGUUUUAUAUUGUCAUCUGCAUACUUACAGAGUCAUAGGGCUAUAUAUCUCCAGUUUUCUUAGAUCAUUGUCUAAAUGAAGUAAAUCAAGCAGCUAAAUUCUGAGAUGCAGUUUUGCUCUUUCUUGGGUCUCAAAUCGCUAUCAACCUUGAGUUUAUGGCAGACAAUGUCCAUGGACAACACUAAGAUUUGCAGUAACAAGCUAGGAACUCCAAAUUUCUGCAGGAUGUCCUGCACCAUAUAAUUCAAUUUGCUCAAGUAAAACACCAUGAAGAAGUGCUAAACAAUCUGUUAUGCCUCCAAUUAGUUAGGUCUGACUUAUGUGAAGUUAAUGACUUACAAGUUAGUAUAUCCACAAGUGUAGGGUAUGUAACAACACCGAGUGUUAGGCCUGCCUCUAUUAUCUGAUUGUAUAAUCUGAAGGUUUCAUUUGAUCUGCCCUCUUUUGAUAGGCCAGAAAUCAUCGUUCUGAAAGUCACCACAUCCAGAACUAAACCCUUUGUAGGAAUCUCGAUGAAAAGCUUCACAGCAACAUCUACUUUUCCUGAUAUGCAUUCCCGAUGUAAUAUAAGAUGUGUAUGUAUAGACAUCUGGGACAUCAUGACAAUCCUUAAACCUUCUCUCAUCGUACCUUUCUUACAAUAACCAUCUACAGUGCAUUGUAAGUAAUUGUGUUAGGUUUAACUCCCUUAGUAUCCAUCUCAAAUCUUCUUUCAUCGUACCUUUCUUACAAUAACCAUCUUCAGGGCAUUGCAAGUAAUUGCAUUAGGCUUAAAUCCUUUAUUUUCCAUCUCAAUAAGUAUUUUUAUUGCUUUAGCAAUAUUUCCCACCUUGCAACAACCAUCUAUCAGGGCAGUGUACGUUACUAUGUUAGGCUUCACUCCCUUAGUUUCCAUCUCAAUUAGUAUCUUUAUUGCUUUAGCAAUAUUUCCCACCUUGCAACAACCAUCUAUCAGGGCAGGAUACGUUACCGUGUUAGGCUUAACUCCCUUAGGUUCCAUCUCAAUAAGUACCUUUUCAGCUUUAGCAAGAUUUCGCACCUUGCAAUAACCAUGUAUCAGGGCAGUGUACGUUACUGUGCUAGGCGUAACUCCCUUAGUUCCAAUCUCACUAAAUACCGUUUUUGCUUCAAUGAAAUUUCCCUACUUGCAAUAACCGUCUAUCAGGGAACUGGCACUGUUUGUUGUUGUGUUGGGCUUAACUCCUUCAAUUUCCAUCACCCUAAGUAUCCUUUUUGCGUCAACAAUUUUUCCCAGCUUGCAAUAACCAUCUACUAGUGUAGUGUAUGUUGUCGUGUUAGGCUUAGUUUCCAUCUCAAUAAGUGUCCUUCUUGCUUCCACAAAAUUUCCCUACUUGCAAUAAAUAUCGAUCAAAGUUGUAUAACUAAUUGUAUCUAGAGCUACACCUCGAUCCACCAUUGAGAGCAACAACAUUUUUGCUUCAUCAUACAAUUCUAGCUUAAGCAGGCCCGUAGCAAUUAUAUUGUAAGCAUUUGCAUCAGGCUGAUGUCCUUCACCCUCCAUAAUUGUCUGUAGCCUCAGUGCUUCAUCCACAUUACCUUUCUUACAGUAACCAUCCAUCAUCGUAUUAAAUAUGACCCGGUCUAUGCUAAUGCCCUUGCCUUGCAUCUCAUUUUAGCAAAACUUCAGCUCCUUGCAUUAGUCCAGCCUUGCAGAAGACAUUUAUCAAUGCUCCAUACGUGUGAACAUCAGGAAUGAGGCCUCUCUCCACCAUUUCAACAAACGUUGAAAAUGCCUUCAUAACAUUACCUAACUUACUAUAACCACUAAUCAUGGAGGUGCAUAAAUGAACAUUUGGCUCUAUACCCUCUUUUCUAUUCCUUAAACAACCUCUCAACCUCUACAAGAUCGCCAAAAGUUGAAUAUCCUUUAAUCAGAAGCGUAUAACUAGUCAGAUUGAGAUCAAACCAUCUUUCUCGAUUUUCCUCAAAAUCUCCUUUACAACCACAAAAUCUUGUAUCUUCAUAUAUGCUUGUAACAAUAUGUUAGAAGUGUAAUCACUUGGUUUCACCCUUUUACUAGCCAUUUCAUCCAUGAGUUUUCUAGCCUCACAAACCUCCCCCAUUUUACACAAUCCAUCAACUACCACCGUCAUCGAAUAAACUGUAAUUUUCACAUUAAAUUCAACCAUCUUAUGGAAAAACUCGAACAACGAGUCAUAUUGCCUUUGCCUUUUCAUAGAAAGCAAGUAAACCAUACAAGCUCUAUCAUCAAUUCUAAAGCGCCUUUUUUCAUAUAAUCAAAAACUUAUAGAGCUUCAGUAAACCUCAUGUAAUUAACAUAAACACUAAAUAACAUAUUAAACAUCUUCCCUAUAACCUUACACUUUACAUGAUUCUCAUUCAACAAAGAAGCUAUUUUUGAAUCUGGUUUCCUCAGACCAUCAGUAACAACAACAGCAUUCAAUAUAUUCUCAGCUUCAGCAAACUCCUUGGAUUUUAACAAGUCUAGAAACACGGCUAAAUGGGUUUCAAGAUUGGGACUUUGCUUGAAAUUGAAGAAAUUUGAGCAAGAAGAAGAGGAAGGGGGAAAUAGGGAGAUUAAUUUGGCAAUUUCUUUAAUUGGUCUAUUGGGAAAUCGUUGUUUUACCGGUUGAUAAACCUUUUGAGUCGACAUGUGAAUAACAACUCAAUACCUAUAAACUUGAGCAGUGCAAUUUGAAAUUUUCAUUUCUGAACUUUAGAAAUAUAGGUUACCUCUAUUUUGCCCUUGCUGGAAGAUGUUGAAAGGAGUCAAAAGAAGAAUUGUUUUCGACUGUUCAUUGCCAGUGCUACUUCGUUAGCCUCGUAGUGAGUUGCUUUAACAUUAGCUAGUUUCAUUCUUUGUUGUAUCUCCUCAAUAAUGAAAUUCAGCUUGUAGUUGGAUUGCUGGUUGUUCACAAUCAUCGGAAAUAGGAUCAAAGAGUCUGUAUCUUUGGUGAAGUUCUUCAGAUUUUUCAGAAGGCAGAGGCUUAGUCCAUAACUGGCAGCCUUAGCUUCUGCUUAUGUGCUGCUGCAACAACUCGAAGGUGAGCAGAAAACCAAGAUGAGAUUGCCUCUAUCAUCCCUCGAAACUCCCCUCAUAACAGAUUUUCCACUAGCUGAGCAGUAGCUUCCGUAAGUUUUCAAUUUAAGGAUGCCAUUUUCAGGGAACUUCCAGCAUACAAUAGAAAGGUAUGAGAAAGGUUCCAGCUGCACAAAUUUUUCACAAAGAGUGAUCCAAAGUAAUGUCAAACCAACUUUUGGAUAAGCUUUAGCAAUUGUACUCUGAAUGCUGCAGCCAAUGUGUUGGAUCAUCAUAUAUCUGUUGAAAUUCCUUAAGCCUCCAUAAUUACUACACUCGGACCUUUGUUUCAAAAUCUCCAAACAGAUAAGGCCUGGUAUAGUUUGAAGAACUAGCUUGUCGAUGGAGUUAUUUGAUUUUUGAUUCCACCAGUUGUAAGUUCUGAUUGCCAGUGGCCCUCCAAAGUGCUUCCACACAUAUUGAGCUGCCUCUCCAUGAAGAAAAACAUGUUGCAUUUGAUUUUCAUUUUAGGAAGAGAGCAGCAGUUGCAUAGAGUAUCCUUCAGAAUACCAAAUCUGCUAAUGACUUCGUCAAAAGAAAGUUCACUGCCAGAAUUUCCAAACGAAAAAUGAAAUCUAAAAAGGAAUGUUGGAGUUCCAUACCUGAUCAAUAUUGUGGUCUGUUGGAAUAUUUCCCAUCUUCUGUGAGGUCCCAAAAGACCUUGUCUUGAGUGUCAUACUUGCCAAUUCCAAUGGUCUUGAUCUGUUGAAUUGUGCUAUCUCAUAGGAUGUUCUGCAUCUUUGCAUUGCCCCAAGUUCCAUUAUUAAUGAAAUGUCUUACUAGAGUCUCGGUAUUCUUCUCUGUUUCAUGGUAAUCAUUGGCUAGAGGACCUUUGCUACUCCAGUUGUCCCGCCAAAAAACUACAAUUUCCAGAAGGGUAGUAAUCAGAAAAGAAAAUUGUGGAGAUAGUAUAAAUCAAGUAUUGGUGUUGUCAAAGACUCAGAAGCGAGGUGCAUAACAGUUCGAGUGCUUCACCCUCACUUAGUUGGCGCUUCAGUGCAGCCACAAAGGUACUAAAGCAUACACCUUAUCACCAAUGGGCUUUAUCCUUGCACGUAAAUUUCUAAAUUCUUUUAUCCUUACUAUAAUUUUCAUUUGUACUUGCAAUUAUUAUUCGUCAAUUACAUUUGUUUCAUUUUACUUUAUCCUUCAUUUCCACAUUUCCAACUAAGUCCAUGCUUUAACUGUCCUUUGCGUUUAAAGGCUUAAGUCCCACCAAAGCUUAAGUUUUUUCCCUUCGAUAACACUCUCAAAUAUAUCCAAAAUACUAACCAUGCAGAAUUUUCUCUUCUAUAUCCAACAAGCAAUGACUCUUAACCUUCAUAUGUUCAACAUGGAACUGAUAUCAAGUUACAAGUUACAAGUAUGGGGUCUACACCUAUAUACUGCACAUGAAGACUAAACUUUUCAACAAGCACAAGAUAUGGUCCUUAAUUUUAAUCCUUUUGACAUGCACAUGUACAUAUUAGAAUACAAACUUCAGACAUAAUAGAAGCAUUCUACAUCAAUAAACUAUACAAAAGCACACGUACAAUAGCUAAUGGUUUAACUCAGUGAAUUCCAGUUUAAUUAAAAAACAAUCUGCUAUAUAUACUUCUGACUGGCUAAAUCUAAUCCAAAUAAAGUUCACGAUGUACAAGUUUAUAGAGAAGAAUUUCUCACACUAAGUGCAGAGUAUGCAGCAGCAUCAUGUAUUACGCCUGCCUCUAUCAUCUGAUUGUAUAAUCGGAGGGCUUCACCUGAUCUGCCUUCUUUUGAUAAGCCAGAAAUCACUGCUGUAUAAGUCACAACAUUCGGAACUAAACCCUUUGUAGGCAUCUCAUUGAAAAGCUUCAGAGCAUCAUCUACCUUUCCUGAUUUGCAUUCCCCAUGUACAAGUGAGGUGUAUGUAUAGACGUUAGCUAUCAAGUCCUUAGAUUCCAUGACAAUUCUUAGCUUAUAAGCUUCAUUCAUUAUACCUUUCUGGCAAUAACCAUCUAUCAGUGCAGUGUAUGUCUUGGUGUUAGGCUUAACUCCGUUACUCUCCAUCUCAAGAAGUAUCCUUUUAGCUUUAACAAAAUCUCCUUGCUUACACUUAGUUUCCAUCUCAAUAAGUGCCCUUUUUGCUUCCACAAAAUUUCCCUGCUUGCAAUAAAUAUCGAUCAAAGUUGUAUAACUAAUUGUAUCUGGAGCUACACCUCGAUCCACCAUUGAGAGCAACAACAUUUUUGCUUCAUCAUACAAUUCUAGCUUAAGCAGGCCCGUAGCAAUUAUAUUGUAAGCAUUUGCAUCAGGCUGAUGUCCUUCACCCUCCAUAAUUGUCUGUAGCCUCAGUGCUUCAUCCACAUUACCUUUCUUACAGUAACCAUCCAUCAUCGUAUUAAAUAUGACCCGGUCUAUGCUAAUGCCCUUGCCUUGCAUCUCAUUUAGCAAAACUUCAGCUCCUUGCAUUAGUCCAGCCUUGCAGAAGACAUUUAUCAAUGCUCCAUACGUGUGAACAUCAGGAAUGAGGCCUCUCUCCACCAUUUCAACAAACGUUGAAAAUGCCUUCAUAACAUUACCUAACUUACUAUAACCACUAAUCAUGGAGGUGCAUAAAUGAACAUUUGGCUCUAUACCCUUCUUUUCUAUUUCCUUAAACAACCUCUCAACCUCUACAAGAUCGCCAAAAGUUGAAUAUCCUUUAAUCAGAAGUGUAUAACUAGUCAGAUUGAGAUCAAAACCAUCCUUCUCCAUUUUCCUCAAAAUCUCCUUUACAGCCACAAAAUCGUGUAUCUUUAUAUAUUCUUGUAACAGUAUGUUAUAAGUGUAAUCACUUGGUUUCACCCUUUUACUAGCCAUUUCAUCUACCAGCUUUCUAGCCUCACAAACCUCCCCCAUUUUACACAAUCCAUCAACUACCACCGUCAUCGAAUAAACUGUAAUUUUCACAUUAAACUCAACCAUCUUAUGGAAGAACUCGAACAACGAAUCAUAUUGCCUUUGCCUUUUCAUAGCAAGCAAGUAAACCAUACAAGCUCUAUCAUCAAUUCUAAAGCGCCCUUUUUUCAUAUAAUCAAAAACUUGUAGAGCUUCAGUAAACCUCAUGUUAUUAACAUAAACACUAAAUAACAUAUUAAACAUCUUCCCUAUAACCUUACACUUUACAUGAUUCUCACUCAACAAAGAAGCUAUUUUUGAAACUGGUUUCCUCAAACCAUCAGUAACAACAACAGCAUUCAAUAUAUUCUCGGCUUCAGCAAACUCCUUGGAUUUUAACAAGUCCACAACCAAGGCUAAAUGGGUUUCAAGAUUGGGACUUUGCUUGAAAUUGAAGAAAUUUGAGCAAGAAGAAGGAGAAGGGGGAAAGAAGGAGAUUAAUUUGGCAAGUUCUUUAAUGGGUCUCUUGGGAAAACGUUGUUUUACCGGUUGGUAAAAUUUUUGAGUCGACAUGUGAAGAACAACUCAAUACCUGUAAACUUGAGCAGUGCAAUUUGAAAUUUUCAUUUCUGAACUUCAGAAAUAAAGGUUACCUCUUAACACAAGUGCAGAUGCCAUGUUUUCCGGCGAGUUUCGGCGAGUUCCCGGCGAGUUCAGCAAAUUUAUAAAACUGUAGUGUGAAGCUUUUUAAGAGAAUUUAGAGAAGACGGCGUGAAGAACUUUGAUUGAAGUACAAAUGAAUCCUCAUAAAAUGUGUACAAAUUGACCCUCUAUAAUUUUAAGAAGUUAAAUUUAGUCCUCAUAUUUGACGUUUUGCUACUAAUUUGGUGCAAUUAUUCCUCUCCAAUCUCCAUCAACUCAAUUUCAAAUUUUACACCUCGUGGAACUUAAAUUUCUCAUUGAAUUUUAUUUAGACAUUUAAAUUAUAAUUUCUUCUAAUUGAAAAUUUGAACACAUAAUAAACGGAUAAAGUAUUCUUAAUAAGCACUUUCUAUUCAUAAUUGAGUUGAUUUCUCAUAUUGUUACUCAAUUAGUAGUUAUUAUCUCGUAAAGUCACUUUUUUUUUGUUGAAGAUAAAUGGAAUUAAAAAAAUAAUUGAGAUAAGUAUUAGUUAAAUGACCAUGUGGAACAAACACUUCAUAUUUUGGAAAAGUUUAUGUAUGUGAGAGUUUAUCACAUAAAUAAAUUAAUUACAUUAAAUAUAUCACCUCUUUUUAUCAUACACAUAAGCAUCAAUUGGAACAUAUACAAGGUGUGAUAGCUUAUUAAGGCUAAUGUAUGUAACUAAAGGAGGUGAUAUAUUUUAAAUAGUAAACUUAUUUAUUAUAAUGAACGCUUGAGAAUACGCACAAAAACUUCUUAAUUUUUAUUUAAUUAAAGUGUAGUAAAAACAAUUUAUCUUUAACAAGAAGACAUUUAAUUGAAUUUUACAUGAAAUAUUUUUCUUUAACCAUUAUAGUAUCUUAACAAUAUUAUCUCUUUCUAACAUUGAAAUCUUUGAAAUUGUGUUGGAGUAGUAAGUACUCUUUCAUCAUUAACCAAGAGGUCUCGGGUUCGAGUCGCCUUUGUUAGGAAGCAGUUUACCCCUAAUGUGGAACUUCCCAGCGCGAAUACGGAUUUAGUUGACCAUAUCAAUGUUUCAAAAUCCAUUCAAGUUUAGGUGAUACAAUAAAAAAGGCCAAAACUAAAAAUACAAGAAAUACAAUUCAUUAUAUUUAAUUUAGUUACUAAUCCAUGAUUUCCUCAUACCACAGCUUGGCCUUGCCUCACAAUACAACACAAGGAUAAAACACUUUACCCUUUGCAAAAGGAGGGUUAGGAGACUAAUAUCUACAAGUACUGGUUGUUCACAAUCAUAGGAAAUAGGUAGUUGGAUUACUGGUUGUUCACAAUCAUAGGAAAUAGGUUCAAAGAGUUUGUCUCUUUGGUGAAAUUCUUCAGAUUUUUCAAAAUGCAGAGGCUCUUAGUCCAAAACUGGCAGCCUUAGCUUCUGCUUCUGUGAUGCUGCUACCACUCGAAGGUGAGGAGAAAGCGAAGAUGAGAUUGCCUCUAUCAUCCCUCAAAACUCCCUUCAUACCAGAUUUUCCACUAGCUGAGCAGUAGCUUCCGUCAGUUUUCAAUUUAAUGACGCCAUUUUCAGGGAACUUCCAGCAUACAAUAGAAAG